UAAUACGGAGGAUCCAAGCGUUGUCCGGAUUUAUUGGGUUUAAAGGGUGCGUAGGCGGACUAUUAAGUCAGAGGUGAAAGUUUGCAGCUUAACUGUAAAAUUGCCUUUGAAACUGGUAGUCUUGAGUAUAGUUGAGGUGGGCGGAAUGUGUCGUGUAGCGGUGAAAUGCUUAGAUAUGAUACAGAACACCGAUUGCGAAGGCAGCUCACUAAACUAUAACUGACGCUGAGGCACGAAAGCGUGGGGAGCGAACAGGAUUAGAUACCCUGGUAGUCCACGCCCUAAACGUUGAAUACUCGUUGUUGGCGAUAUACUGUCAGCGACUAAGCGAAAGCAUUAAGUAUUCCACCUGGGGAGUACGACCGCAAGGUUG
This 373-nucleotide ribosomal RNA is filed under the name uncultured Bacteroidota bacterium. Its description in RNAcentral is "bacterial SSU rRNA". It matches the Rfam family "Bacterial small subunit ribosomal RNA", at positions 521 to 896 of the family's 1533-position model. The record is from RNAcentral. Lineage: Bacteria; Pseudomonadati; Bacteroidota.